GGGGGGGGGGGGGGGCGGGCGGGGCGGGGGGGGGGCGGGCGGGGGGGCGCGGCGGUUGGGGGGUGCUCGGGGGGCGGCCGGGUGAGUAGCGCGGGGGUGACCUGCCCUUGACUUGGGGAUCACUUCAGGAGCCUGGGGCUCAUCCCGGAUAGGAGCUCCUGCUGCAUGGUGUUGGUUGUAAAGUUUCGGCGUUUGUGGAUGUACUCGCGGCUUAUCCGCUUGUUGGUGGGGUAGUGGCUUACCCAGGCUUUGCCGGGUAGCCGGCCUGAGAGGGUGACCGGCCACAUUGGGACGGAGAUACGGCCGAGAAUCCAACGGGAGGAAGCAGUGGGGAAUAUUGCACAAUGGGCGGAAGCCUGAUGCAGCAGCGCCGCGUGCGGGAUGACGGCCUUCGGGGUGUAAACCGAUGUCGCCUGUGACGAAGCGUGAGUGACGGUAAUGGGUAAAGAAGCAACGGCUAACUACGUG
Molecule: ribosomal RNA, 468 nt
Filed under: uncultured bacterium
Lineage: Bacteria
Description: partial 16S ribosomal RNA
Rfam family: Bacterial small subunit ribosomal RNA (bases 49-468)
Source: RNAcentral